GAGGGCUUAGCUUAAUUAAAGUGUUUGAUUUGCAAUCAAUUGAUGUGAGACGGGCUCUCGCAGUCCUUA
RNAcentral lists this transfer RNA (69 nucleotides) under Galidia elegans (ring-tailed mongoose). RNAcentral's name for it is "tRNA-Ala". It matches the Rfam family "tRNA". Rfam says of the family: Transfer RNA (tRNA) molecules are approximately 80 nucleotides in length. Their secondary structure includes four short double-helical elements and three loops (D, anti-codon, and T loops). Lineage: Eukaryota; Metazoa; Chordata; Mammalia; Carnivora; Eupleridae. The record is from RNAcentral.